GGAAACUUCCUCCUUAAGGAAGUGACUCUCCUAGAAGCAGCUGGUAUCUGCUAGUUCUUUCAUUUAGUUAAUUCAGCCUUGCUAAACUACCAAAAGAGAAGAAAUAAGCCUCCAGAACCAUCUAGAUGUCUCUCCUUGCCUAAAGAAGAAGCAGUAUCAAGGAGUUGAGAGCAAUCAAUUAUUUCAAAUGCUGCUGAUAGGUCAAGUGAAAGAACUGAAGAUUGGAUUUAGUAACAGAGAACUAAGAAGCAAGGUCACCAGCUGAAAGUGAGGAUGACAAGGUGUUGGACAUUUGAGGGGAGAUGAGAGGCAUGAAAUAAUCAUCUGAAAUUAUAUGCUAUUGAAAAUAAUUGGUAAGCCAUUCUCAGUGGGCUCACACUAGGAGUAUAGUAGCAUUUGUCAGAAAAUUAAACAGCUAAAAAACCUAAGCAUUAUUCACCCAGAAAAAAUAUGAGCAUGCCUGAACUCAUCACUCCCACAUAGCCCAAAUCUGACAGUUUUCUUCCGUAACUUAACAUUUAAGAUGUUGAGUUACAACAUGUUUGCUAUGUUUGUUUUUCAUUACAAUAUUUCACGUUGACUAUUGAGAACUAUAAGCCAAUUUCCUUUUAGACUCUUGAUAUUUUGCUAUUAGUUACUGUUGAACAAGAGCCAUAUCAGCUGUGCAGCACCUCCAGGGAAAGGGUGGAUAAGUUUGUCUCUGGCAAGAUGGAAGAAAAGCUACUUGUUAGCUUGU
This 736-nucleotide long non-coding RNA is filed under the name Pan troglodytes (chimpanzee). Its description in RNAcentral is "long non-coding RNA NONPTRT014114". The record is from RNAcentral. Lineage: Eukaryota; Metazoa; Chordata; Mammalia; Primates; Hominidae.